GUCUCUGAGGAUGGUCAAAACAAACUUCCGUUCUCCCGUGGUUUUAUUAAUCAAUGCGGAAAAUACUGGAGAUCUGAACUGAAGAACU
Papaver somniferum (opium poppy) is the source of this 88-nucleotide small nucleolar RNA. RefSeq annotates it as small nucleolar RNA Z159/U59. The transcript has a single exon. Lineage: Eukaryota; Viridiplantae; Streptophyta; Magnoliopsida; Ranunculales; Papaveraceae. The record is from RefSeq and is a predicted model, not a curated record.